This 335-nucleotide unclassified non-coding RNA is filed under the name uncultured fungus. RNAcentral's name for it is "partial contains small subunit ribosomal RNA, internal transcribed spacer 1, and 5.8S ribosomal RNA". The stretch from base 1 to 73 matches the Rfam family "Eukaryotic small subunit ribosomal RNA", at positions 1759 to 1831 of the family's 1831-position model. The record is from RNAcentral. Lineage: Eukaryota; Fungi.
GCAAACUUGGUCAUUUAGAGGAAGUAAAAGUCGUAACAAGGUUUCCGUAGGUGAACCUGCGGAAGGAUCAUUAUCGAUUCAACCCAAAUGAGAAGGGAGUUGCUUGUAGUUGUGCUGGCCUUCAAUGAAUGCAUGUGCACGCUCAGCUUCUUCUUUUCUUCAUUUACACACCUGUGCACUUGUUGUAGGGUAUCUUUCCAAGAUGCUCUAUGUCUUUUCAUAUACACCAUUACAUGUUUAAAGAAUGUAUCUUUUGUUCUCAUUAGAGACAAAAUAAAGCCUUUAUAACUUUCAGCAACGGAUCUCUUGGCUCUCGCAUCGAUGAAGAACGCAGC